GUCGAGGAUCUUUUGCAAUGCCCGAAAGGGUGACAAUGCGACGCCGCGUGCGCGAUGAAGGUUUUCGGAUUGUAAAGCGCUGUCGUCCGGGAGGAAUCUCUGGAGGCUUAAUAAGCUUGCAGGGUGACAGUACCGGAAGAGGAAGCCACGGCUAACUCCGUGCCAGCAGCCGCGGUAAUACGGAGGUGGCAGGCGUUACUCGGAUUGAUUGGGUGUAAAGGGUGUGUAGGUGGUGAAUUAAGUCGAAUGUGAAAGCCCCUGGCUCAACCAGGGAAUUGCAUUCGAAACUGAUUUGCUUGAGCGAUGGAGAGGAAAGCGGAAUUCCCGGUGUAACAGUGAAAUGUGUAGAUAUCGGGAGGAACACCAGUGGCGAAGGCGGCUUUCUGGACAUCUGCUGACACUGAAACACGAGAGCAUGGGGAGCAAACAGGAUUAGAAACCCGAGUAGUCC
RNAcentral lists this ribosomal RNA (451 nucleotides) under uncultured bacterium. RNAcentral describes it as "bacterial SSU rRNA". It matches the Rfam family "Bacterial small subunit ribosomal RNA", at positions 354 to 796 of the family's 1533-position model. The record is from RNAcentral.